ACAUAAGACGUCUCUUUCAUUCCAGCGAAAGCCUCCGGAGGGCCUCUUUCUCCCUCUCUCUUUUCUCUGCUCUGGGAUCGGGUUUAAUUGCUUCUCCCCCAGGGAGAGGGCUUCCUAAAAUAGCCCCUGGCUCCUCCGUAGGGUGCUCCUUCCUUUUGAGUCUGUGGCCAAAGUACCAACCCCGCACUUUCUUCCUUUCCUUUCUUUUUCUUUCUCCCCCCCCCCCCUUACUGCGUUGAAGAGGCGCAAGGUGUAAAAACAGUCACACAAAAGCACGUCCCACAAUUAAAGCUGCGUUGGUUAGGUUGCUUUCAAAGAAGUUUGUUUUUUUUUUUUCCCUCCUCUCUCGGAAGCCUCCUGCAUCUCUCACAUGCUAGUUGAGCUUUAAUAGGGAGGGAGUAAUGGAGAACUCCUCGGCUCUGUAAUAGCUCUUCACUUGACUGCAGCCAGCACUAACAGCGGGAGCAGGCAGAGAUAAGAGAGAGGGAGAGAGGAAGAGGGUGUGUGUGGGGAGAGAGAGGGAGAGAGGAGCGAGGACACGCUCACACUAAAGCGGCCACUUCGUCUUCCUCCCUUCCCGCUUUUCCCCAUCCUAGGAUCCAAUGAUAGCUGGACAAGUCAGCAAGCCCUUGCUGUCAGUGCGGAGUGAAAUGAAUGCAGAGUUGGGAGGUGAGGACAAGGCUGCUACUUCAGACAGCGAGCUGAAUGAGCCCCUGCUUGCGCCGGUGGAAUCCAAUGACAGCGAGGACACUCCCAGCAAGCUCUUGGUGGCGCUCCGGCUACUUUUGCCAAGAAGUGGUGUUCGGAGAGUAAAUAACUGAAGUGGAAAGGCCAGACUCUUAUCUUCACGGACCCUCACAAAUGGAGAAGCAGAGAUGCGGAUGUGGAAGGAGAAAGUGUCAGGAAAAUCGCCAUCAAUCACAGAGCGAGGAUAUUGGGCUGCAUUUGGCAUCAGUGUUGCUGUGUUUUAAAAAGGAUAAAUAUGCUUCCCUUUAGGAAUGUAGGCGCAGCUCUUCCCGCCGUGAGAGCCUCUUCACUGGGAGUCCUCCCCCCCCCGGAUGCACAGGGUGAGACGCGGUCCAGGCUAUUCCUGUGAUGGAGAGGGUGCCUCUUGGACGUCUUCCUUCCCUGCAUCCUCACCUGCCCCCACCUGACUUUUGUGAGAUAGACUGUGAAUGUCUGAUAAAAGCUGGGUGUUUUAGGUGCAUUGCCACAUUGAAUGCCAACCAAGGGAAGGAAGGAAGGAAGGAAGGAAGGAAGGGGUCAUUAUGAGGUUGAUAAUACAUACAAAUAAUUACCGUAUUACUUGGCACAUAGAACUUUACAUAUAAAGAAAAUUAUACUGACAUCUCUACAAAAGGAUCAAGGGAAAAGAGGACAUUUUUUAACGUUUAACGUAUAUAUUUUUUAUUUUAUUUUUGUCUUUUUAGGGCCUCACCUGCAGCAUAAGGAAAUUCCCAGGCUAGGGGUCAAACUGGAGCCGGUGACUACAGCUCCGAUUCGACCCCUAGCCUGGGAACCUCCAUAUGCCGUGGGAGUGGCUCUAGAAAAGGCAAAAAGACAAAAACAAACAAACAAAAAAAACAAACAUUUNUGGACAUACGGGUAACCUCCUAGCUCCCUUUCCUACCUACUCCCCCCAAAAAACCAAAAAAGCAAAAGCUCAUGAUGAGAUUUUUCUGUAGGUCUGUGGGCUGCAAUUAGAGCCUUGCCGAUAUUAGAAACAAACCCAAGUAUUUGCUGCGAGAGGCUGGAGGCUGGGCUAUUGUAAAAAGAGCUGCUGCUACUCCAACCCUAGCUCUCGUCCCCACCAUACCAUGAUGAAGAUGUCAGGUAAGGAAGCACGGACCAGCUCCCCACUUUUCCACCCCCUCCCUCCACCCCAGUGCACGCGCACACACACACUUCACAUGAGCUUGUAUCGGAAUUUUAAAGCAGGUUAUUUAUCAGCUUUGAGCAUUUUCCAAGCACACUUGGCGUCAGAGCUCUCAGUAGCUCUUGCGUGUUUCACCACGUGGCUAAGGAGCCUGGGAGACGUUCAGACCCAGGCCAGUUGCACUGCCUGGAGUGUCUGGGUCUCAUCAUCCCCUUGUUCUCAGGCUUGGCAGCCAGUCGAGAGGGGAAGCUGUGAUUUCGUUAGUGAAAGUGUAACUGAUAGAUCCACGACUGAGGACAGCUAUCUUCUACGUGAUUUCUCUCUCGAGGCAUCGGUGCCCGGUCUCCCCGUUCGAGGGGUAGGUAACUGAGAAUUGAUAGGAAACAAUCACCUGGAGAGUCCACCAAGCGACGUAUUUGUGUGGUCACUGACAAUGACAUUCAGUAGACGUGUGGAUGAUUAAGGCCGGUUUCUUGCUGGGGAAGAAAAGCCUCUAUAGAGGGGGUUCCUGCUGUGGCUCAGGGGGUGACGAACCCAUCUAGUAUCCAUGAGGACGCAGGUUCGAUCCCUGGAGGUGUUGCCGUGAGCUGUGGUGGAGGUCGCAGAUGCAGCUUGGAUUCUGAGUUGCUAUGGCCGUGGUGUAGGCCGGUGGCUACCGCUCUGAUUGGACCCCAGCCUGGAAACUUCCCUAUGCUGCAGGAGCGGCCCUAAAAAAAAGGCGGAAAGUAAAUGAGUAAAUUCCUCUGUAGACAUAAACAGUCUUGUCAGCAUUUGCCGAUGCGGAAAAUGGCUCUCAAAGCAGUGUUCAGGAUUUGAGGCCCCUCGAUGAGCAGGUGUCUUGGCCAGGGCCUGCUUUGUGGGCCAUCAACCACUGCAGUGGCCCAUGGCCCCCCAUCUAGCAGGGCCCCAUGUUUGGAGUUUAAUGGUGCGAGGUCACUGUCUUGAAAUUCUGAGUAGUUUAUCUGUGAAAUUGUGUUUUGUGAGUCAAGUGCAGUGGGACCACAAGAGCAGGGGGUUGGAGGCAGGGAGGCUUGGAUCGGAGGCUGGGCUAUUGUAAAAAGAGCUGCUGCGGUCCAGCCACCACCUCCCCAGGACAGGGCACUCCUCAGCCACCUGCUCCUUUCCCCUGGUGCCCCUGGACUCCCCGAAGCCUGAGUGGAGCUGUGGCCUUCUGCCUUCUGCCCAUCUCUGGGGCCUGGGCUCAGGUGCAGGGAAGGUUAUGGGAUCAGCGUGCAACUCACCCGGAUCCAGGCGUCCAGCGCAUCCCAGCGGGAAGGUUGCAGUCCCUUGAGUUCACCCGUCCGCCUGCCAUGGAUUAAGCCUGCAGCCCCGGGGAAGGGGAAGAUUGACUUCUCAGUCCCAGGCUAGGGACUGGCAUUUUCAUUUGGCAUGGAGCCCCAUGAAUUAUGUAGCCGGCCCUCGUGUAGAGUUGAGCACAGAUGAAGCGAGCUCCCGGGAUGGGCUUAAACACACAGGGACUGCACAGCCUCCAUGUCCAGGGGGCUGUGCCAGAGUCCCAU
RNAcentral lists this long non-coding RNA (3396 nucleotides) under Sus scrofa (pig). RNAcentral describes it as "lncRNA (ENSSSCG00050073536.1)". The record is from RNAcentral. Lineage: Eukaryota; Metazoa; Chordata; Mammalia; Artiodactyla; Suidae.